GACGGAGGGUGCGAGCGUUAAUCGGAGUUACUGGGCGUAAAGCGCAUGGAGGCGGCCGGCGACGUCAGGUCUGAAAUCCUCGGGCUUAACCUGGGAAGUGGACUUGAUACGGUCCGGCUAGAGUUUGGCAGAGGGAAGUAGAAUUCCCGGUGUAGCGGUGAAAUGCGUAGAGAUCGGGAGGAAUACCAGUGGCGAAGGCGGCUAUCUGGGCCUAUACUGACGAUGAGGUGCGAAAGCGUGGGUAGCAAACAGG
Molecule: ribosomal RNA, 253 nt
Filed under: uncultured bacterium
Lineage: Bacteria
Description: partial 16S ribosomal RNA
Rfam family: Bacterial small subunit ribosomal RNA
Source: RNAcentral